CUAGCCCGGAUUCUGACUUAG
RNAcentral lists this non-coding RNA (21 nucleotides) under Arabidopsis thaliana (thale cress). The record is from RNAcentral. Lineage: Eukaryota; Viridiplantae; Streptophyta; Magnoliopsida; Brassicales; Brassicaceae.